This 270-nucleotide unclassified non-coding RNA is filed under the name plant metagenome. RNAcentral describes it as "partial contains small subunit ribosomal RNA and internal transcribed spacer 1". The record is from RNAcentral.
AAGUCGUAACAAGGUUUCCGUAGGUAGCAACCUGGCAGGAAGGAUUCAAUUAACCAAGUAAAGGGCCGGGUAGGAGGUGGGUCUUGAUCUGUAAGGUGGUAGAGCAGACAGUCCGGCUGCCUCCCGAAAUGUCUUACAUGCCCCCCACAGCCUGAAGGCCGAAUUACAACCCUUGAUUAUCUACACUUGUUGCUUUGGGGUGCUCAAGUGCCCCAGAGGACCCAAAUCUCUUGCAUUUAGUGACGUCUGAGUACUAUAUAAUAUUUAAAA